GUACUCUUGCUCCUGCCUUCGUCGAUUACAGUACGAGUUUUAUUCCGGAAAUCCUCUCCGCAUUGGCGUUGCAAGUCAAUUCGUGACAGAAGGAGUUGACAAUGCAGGUGGUUCAUGAAGCUUCAGAUUGGGCACUUGAGCCACUGCAGGUGAAAAAUGAAAGGGCCUUGGUGUAGAGUUUGCAGUACGAGAACCUACUAAACUGGUAACUCUGCAAGACUUUGUUAACCCCUCCCAACCCAAGUUUGAUGAAGGCUAAUAAAAAUGACUCAGUUCAGCUGCUGUAGGAUUCUGUUAUAUGGUGAAUCGAUGGUUGGUGAUUGAUGCUCUGCAGUUGGCUUAAAUAUGGGGAAGCUCCUAUUUCACAGAUGGACCUCAUGGAUGAAAAAUCCAACCCCGUAUGCUGGAUUUCCAUGAUAACCUUGGCGGUCUGUUGAUGUGACGGAUUGUGUCAUGUUCUAUCAUGGCCCUGUUAUGCUGUUAUACUGUGAUGAAUGGAAUGUUUGCAUUGUCAUGCUGGUUUUCUUAAUCGCGAAUGAAGUUAUACAAGUGAAACUUGCUGGAUGCACGCGGGAUUUCGCUUGGUUUUUGUGGCAGCUUGGAAAACGUGUAAAUGAAAUUAGAGUAUUCCUGCAAAGCUUUUGUUUCGGUUGCAUUGCCGACGGUGUGUUGGCAUGCUGUAAUCUUGUGUGUCAGUAGCACCUUCAGCAAUGUGAGCAAUGGAGGACAGGAGUGACGACGUGGAGCUCGAAAUCAGAUUUAACCUCGACGACAUUUGCAAGUUACUCUGCAACACAUUUGACAUGUGGUCUCCAACCACAUUCCUGUAGUCUCCGUAAGCACGAAGGGAUCGAUGUGUUGAUGGGCGUAAAGAUGUAGGCAGGUCUUUCUUGGUUUUUCUUCUUGAACUCUUAAUGCCGAAUCGAAAGAAUAAACUUUUAGUGGUUGUGUCAACCAUUCAAGAGGAAGCGUUUACGUAGACAGGUUGGUCAUUUCCAGUCCAUGCUAGAUCUAUUUCUCAGAAAGAUUGGAUUCCUUAGAUGGUACACAGUUCAGAUAAUGCAUUGUUGGAACCAAAUUCACCAUCAGAAUGUGGUUCUUCCCUAUCCGGAUAACAUGCAGAUGCUUCAGAAACAUGACAAGACUCCAUCUGGCCAUCUGGCUCCACAAGCUUGUGACUUUCACGAGACUCGUGCAAUUUUGAAGGCUGAGAAUUAUUUUGCUCCAGCCAAGAGUUGAAACUUUGAUCCUCAUGAAGUGAGUUAACACUAAACUCACUAUUAACAUCAGCAAAUGAAUCUCUUCCUUGUUGUUCAUGUCGUAUGAAAGUGCAUCUGCAGUGGGUUCCUUGAUAUUUCUCUGGAUGUUAAAACCGGCAAUUCGAACAGCGUCUUUUGUUGCCUUAUUAUUCUGAAUAUGAACCUUUGUCUGCUUUAGCUUACCAAUUUUCACCGGCUUUGUUUGCAGGUGGUUGAAUC
Lathyrus oleraceus (garden pea) is the source of this 1478-nucleotide long non-coding RNA. RefSeq lists it as uncharacterized. The record is from RefSeq and is a predicted model, not a curated record. The transcript has 4 exons. Lineage: Eukaryota; Viridiplantae; Streptophyta; Magnoliopsida; Fabales; Fabaceae.